GCGGGUGUGGUACAACGGCUAGUACAUCAGCCUUCCAAGCUGAGGACGAGGGUUCGACUCCCUUCACCCGCU
RNAcentral lists this transfer RNA (72 nucleotides) under Eubacterium sp. RNAcentral's name for it is "tRNA-Gly". It matches the Rfam family "tRNA". From Rfam's summary of the family: Transfer RNA (tRNA) molecules are approximately 80 nucleotides in length. Their secondary structure includes four short double-helical elements and three loops (D, anti-codon, and T loops). Further hydrogen bonds mediate the characteristic L-shaped molecular structure. tRNAs have two regions of fundamental functional importance: the anti-codon, which is responsible for specific mRNA codon recognition, and the 3' end, to which the tRNAs corresponding amino acid is attached (by aminoacyl-tRNA synthetases). tRNAs cope with the degeneracy of the genetic code in two manners: having more than one tRNA (with a specific anti-codon) for a particular amino acid; and 'wobble' base-pairing, i.e. permitting non-standard base-pairing at the 3rd anti-codon position. Lineage: Bacteria; Bacillati; Bacillota; Clostridia; Eubacteriales; Eubacteriaceae. The record is from RNAcentral. RNAcentral also lists the same sequence under 3 other names.